Molecule: ribosomal RNA, 461 nt
Filed under: uncultured Glomus
Lineage: Eukaryota; Fungi; Glomeromycota; Glomeromycetes; Glomerales; Glomeraceae
Description: SSU rRNA
Rfam family: Eukaryotic small subunit ribosomal RNA
Source: RNAcentral
AGCAGCCGCGGUAAUUCCAGCUCCAAUAGCGUAUAUUAAAGUUGCUGCAGUUAAAAAGCUCGUAGUUGAAUUUCGGGACUAAUAUGUCGGUCGUGCCUCGGUACGUACUGGCUUAUUGGUUUCUCCUUUCUGAAGAACCAUGAUGUCAUUUAUUUGGUGUCGUGGGGAAUCAGGACUGUUACUUUAGAAAAAAUUAGAGUGUUUAAAGCAGGCUCACGCUUGAAUACAUUAGCAUGGAAUAAUGAAAUAGGACGUUUGAUUCUAUUUUGUUGGUUUCUAGGAUCGACGUAAUGAUUAAUAGGGAUAGUUGGGGGCAUUAGUAUUCAAUUGUCAGAGGUGAAAUUCUUGGAUUUAUUGAAGACUAACUACUGCGAAAGCAUUUGCCAAGGAUGUUUUCAUUAAUCAAGAACGAAAGUUAGGGGAUCGAAGACGAUCAGAUACCGUCGUAGUCUUAACCAUAA